Molecule: ribosomal RNA, 645 nt
Filed under: Xenomyia stuckenbergi
Lineage: Eukaryota; Metazoa; Arthropoda; Insecta; Diptera; Muscidae
Description: eukaryotic LSU rRNA
Rfam family: Eukaryotic large subunit ribosomal RNA
Source: RNAcentral
UUCAGCACUAAGUCACUUUGUCUUUAUGGCAAAUGUGAGAUGCAGUGUAUGGAAUGUUCAAUUUCUAGUAUGAGAAAUUAAUGAUUUAAGUCCUUCUUAAAUGAGGCCAUUUACCCAUAGAGGGUGCCAGGCCCGUAUAACGUUAAUGAUUACUAGAGAACAUUUCCAAAGAGUCGUGUUGCUUGAUAGUGCAGCACUAAGUGGGUGGUAAACUCCAUCUAAAACUAAAUAUAACCAUGAGACCGAUAGUAAACAAGUACCGUGAGGGAAAGUUGAAAAGAACUCUGAAUAGAGAGUUAAAUAGUACGUGAAACUGCUUAGAGGUUAAGCCCGAUGAACCUGAAUAUCCAUUAUGGAAAAUUCAUCAUUAUGAUUGUGAUAUGAAAAUAAUAUUAUGAUAAUGGUGUGCAUUUUUUCCAUAUAAGGACAUUGUAAUCUAUUAACAUAAAUGAAUUUAUCAUAAGAUCAAUAAAUAUAAGUUUAUUCGAAUUAUUUUGCUUGCAAUUUAACAUAGAAUAAAUAUUGUUGAUUUGAUAAAGUGUUGAUAGUUUUAUUAUAUACAGUGCUUGAAUAUAUAUUUAUAUAUAUUGUAUAAUUGGCAUAUAUAAUCAAUGAUUAUUGUGUUUAUUUAUAUGCACUUGUAUG